Molecule: ribosomal RNA, 878 nt
Filed under: Patella rustica
Lineage: Eukaryota; Metazoa; Mollusca; Gastropoda; Patellidae
Description: SSU rRNA
Rfam family: Eukaryotic small subunit ribosomal RNA
Source: RNAcentral
UCUAUCAAGUGUCUGCCCUAUCAAAUGACGAUGGUACGUGAUCUGCCUACCAUGUUAGCAACGGGUAGCGGGGAAUCAGGGUUCGAUUCCGGAGAGGGAGCAUGAGAAACGGCUACCACAUCCAAGGAAGGCAGCAGGCGCGCAACUUACCCACUCCUGGCACGGGGAGGUAGUGACGAAAAAUAACAAUACGGAACUCUUUUGAGGCUCCGUAAUUGGAAUGAGUACACUUUAAACCCUUUAACGAGGAUCUAUUGGAGGGCAAGUCUGGUGCCAGCAGCCGCGGUAAUUCCAGCUCCAAUAGCGUAUACUAAAGUUGUUGCGAUUAAAAAGCUCGUAGUUGGAUCUCAGGCAUGGGCGCGCGGUCCGCCUCGCGGCGGUCACUGCGUGGAAAGGUAACCCAUCCUACGCUUCCCGGUUGUUCAGCCCAUGGUGCUCUUGACUGAGCGUUUUGGGUGGCCGGAACGUUUACUUUGAAGAAAUUAGAGUGUUCAAAGCAGGCACGUCGCCUGAAUAAUGGUGCAUGGAAUAAUGGAAUAGGACCUCGGUUCUAUUUUGCUGGUUUUCGGAACACGAGGUAAUGAUUAAGAGGGACAGACGGGGGCAUCCGUAUUGCGGUGUUAGAGGUGAAAUUCUUGGAUCAUCGCAAGACGAACUACUGCGAAAGCAUUUGCCAAGAAUGUUUUCAUUAGUCAAGAACGAAAGUCAGAGGUUCGAAGACGAUCAGAUACCGUCGUAGUUCUGACCAUAAACGAUGCCAACUAGCGAUCCGCUGGUGUUGCUUCAUCGACUCUGCGGGCAGCUUCCGGGAAACCAAAGUGUUUGGGUUCCGGGGGAAGUAUGGUUGCAAAGCUGAAACUUAAAGGAAUUGACGGAAG